CGAGGUCUUUAAAAGCAGAGCGUUUACUCUAGUUGGUUGCAGUCAGAGAGACACGCUUAGGUGGCUCAGAGGAAAGCCGGUAUCCAUGUUCUCGAUGGUGCAUGUAGGCCACAUGGAAAGAAACUGAAGGAGACGUCUAGAAGAAUAGAGUGGUCCCUGGCCAACAGCUAAAAAAAAAAAAAAAAACAAAACACUAAAACGGCAAAUAAGUUGGGACCUCAGCCCUACAACCACAAAGAAAGAAAUUCUGCCAAAACACACAGAGGACCUCCAGCCUUCGAUGAGAACCAUAACCCUAUCAAAAACCUUGAUUUCAGCUAGUGAGACCCUGAGUAGGAACUCCGGCCAAGCUGCACCCUGGAUUCUAACCUACAGAAAGUUUAAGGAAGGAUAGAGAAAAUAGAAGAUAUCGAGAGGAAAGAGCAAAAAGUUUUGCUUUUUUAUUCUGAGAAAGUAAUGCAUAUUUCUGCUCAUGAAUCAGAAUUUCCAAGUAAUCCAGACAGUGAGCCUCCACUGAGAACAAAGAAGAUCUUCAAAGCCACCAGUCAGCCAAAGAGGUCAUAAGUGAGAACCUCUCAGUGAGAUGCCAGGACUUCUGGAGAGAACUCCUACUAGAAUUCCUCAGAAUCAGCACAGCAAUGUUUUGCCCAGGCCCCCUUCCCUGCCCUGGUAAGACUGGAGUUGCUUCACCCUGGCCAUUAAAUUGGAAAUAAAAUGUCUUUGCGUAGAUGAUACCUGUUAGCCUGAUGGAAGAACUUCUUGUAUUAUGUUUUUUUUUUCUAAUUUAGUUAGAAAAGUACCUUAAUCAGAAUUCAAAGAUGCAUAAGCGUACUGUCUUUAAAAUUGUCACAUUGGUAAGUUAUGUAGAUUUUUAAAAACAUUACUGCCAUUUAUCAAGGCACUUGGAGAGUAUGUCCUUUAGAAUUAUAUUCCAAGUCCUUUCAAAGCUACAUUCAUUCCUUAGCCUAUUCUCAAAACAAAUUGGAGAGGAUAGGCUUACAGCAUAACCUCCUAGAAUAGGCAAAGACACCUACAAAUACUUAUUAAGCUACCUCUUGUCUUUCCAAACUUGCUUACAGUCAGAAAGUCUAACCUAUUUAGAAAGUAAGUCCAUUCAGUUUUAUGUGUGAGAAUGGUAACAGUCUAAUCACUUCCAUUCUUUGGAUACUAAUGACUUUGGGAUAUUUCCAAAACCAGAUGUACUUUCAAAAAAUGGCUAUUUGAAAUUACUUAGUAAUGCCUAGUGAAUUAGCUUUUUCUACUUAAAGGUAGACUUCAGCUCUUCAACAAUACCUACAAAAUCACAUAGGUCUUCUUGGUAUAUGCAAAUUUUUUUGUUCCUUCUUUGUAACUGUACGUAAAGAUGGAUUCUCAAUAUUAAUGGGGAUAUUCACAUCUCUGAAUUACUGGAACCAAUAUUUUUCUAAUUGAUAUAAAGCUAGAUAUUUUCAAAUUUUAUUAGAUGUUAUUGUCAGGUGCUAAGUCAAUUGUGUAAUAUAUUAUUAAACAAUGUAAAGAAGUUUCUCAACAUGUUACCUAUUUCAAUAAAAAUAAUUUUUGCAACAGCAUAUGGUUUUGAAUUAAAAAUAGAAAAUAA
Molecule: long non-coding RNA, 1597 nt
Filed under: Homo sapiens (human)
Lineage: Eukaryota; Metazoa; Chordata; Mammalia; Primates; Hominidae
Description: HSALNT0077391
Source: RNAcentral